CGAUUUACUUCGGUAAAGAGCGGCGGACGGGUGAGUAACGCGUGGGUAACCUACCCUGUACACACGGAUAACAUACCGAAAGGUAUGCUAAUACGGGAUAAUAUAUUUGAGAGGCAUCUCUUGAAUAUCAAAGGUGAGCCAGUACAGGAUGGACCCGCGUCUGAUUAGCUAGUUGGUAAGGUAACGGCUUACCAAGGCGACGAUCAGUAGCCGACCUGAGAGGGUGAUCGGCCACAUUGGAACUGAGACACGGUCCAAACUCCUACGGGAGGCAGCAGUGGGGAAUAUUGCACAAUGGGCGAAAGCCUGAUGCAGCAACGCCGCGUGAGUGAUGAAGGCCUUCGGGUCGUAAAACUCUGUCCUCAAGGAAGAUAAUGACGGUACUUGAGGAGGAAGCCCCGGCUAACUACGUGCCAGCAGCCGCGGUAAUACGUAGGGGGCUAGCGUUAUCCGGAUUUACUGGGCGUAAAGGGUGCGUAGGCGGUCUUUCAAGUCAGGAGUGAAAGGCUACGGCUCAACCGUAGUAAGCUCUUGAAACUGGGAGACUUGAGUGCAGGAAAGGAGAGUGGAAUUCCUAGUGUAGCGGUGAAAAUGCGUAGAUAUUAGGAGGAACACCAGUUGCGAAGGCGGCUCUCUGGACUGUAACUGAC
RNAcentral lists this ribosomal RNA (650 nucleotides) under Clostridioides difficile. Its description in RNAcentral is "bacterial SSU rRNA". It matches the Rfam family "Bacterial small subunit ribosomal RNA", at positions 75 to 744 of the family's 1533-position model. Lineage: Bacteria; Bacillati; Bacillota; Clostridia; Peptostreptococcales; Peptostreptococcaceae. The record is from RNAcentral.